This 434-nucleotide ribosomal RNA is filed under the name uncultured bacterium. RNAcentral's name for it is "partial 16S ribosomal RNA". It matches the Rfam family "Bacterial small subunit ribosomal RNA", at positions 29 to 507 of the family's 1533-position model. The record is from RNAcentral.
ACGAACGCUGGCGGCAUGCCUAACACAUGCAAGUCGAACGAUUGCCUUCGGGUGAUAGUGGCGCACGGGUGCGUAACGCGUGGGAAUCUGCCCUUAGGUUCGGAAUAACAGCUGGAAACGGCUGCUAAUACCGGAUGAUAUCGCGAGAUCAAAGAUUUAUCGCCUGAGGAUGAGCCCGCGUUGGAUUAGGUAGUUGGUGGGGUAAAGGCCUACCAAGCCGACGAUCCAUAGCUGGUCUGAGAGGAUGAUCAGCCACACUGGGACUGAGACACGGCCCAGACUCCUACGGGAGGCAGCAGCGGGGAAUAUUGGACAAUGGGCGCAAGCCUGAUCCAGCAAUGCCGCGUGAGUGAUGAAGGCCCUAGGGUUGUAAAGCUCUUUUACCCGGGAAGAUAAUGACUGUACCGGGAGAAUAAGCCCCGGCUAACUCCGUG